GGGCCCGCACAAGCGGUGGAGCAUGUGGUUUAAUUCGACGCAACGCGAAGAACCUUACCUGGUCUUGACAUCCUGCGAACUUUCUAGAGAUAGAUUGGUGCCUCGGGAACGCAGUGACAGGUGCUGCAUGGCUGUCGUCAGCUCGUGUCGUGAGAUGUUGGGUUAAGUCCCGUAACGAGCGCAACCCUUGUCCUUAUUUGCCAUCAUUUAGUUGGGCACUCUAGGGAGACUGCCGGUGACAAACCGGAGGAAGUGGGGGACGACGUCAAGUCAUCAUGGCCCUUACGACCAGGGCUACACACGUGCUACAAUGGGGCGUACAAAGGGUUGCAAUCCCGCGAGGGGGUG
RNAcentral lists this ribosomal RNA (348 nucleotides) under uncultured bacterium. RNAcentral describes it as "bacterial SSU rRNA". It matches the Rfam family "Bacterial small subunit ribosomal RNA", at positions 917 to 1267 of the family's 1533-position model. The record is from RNAcentral.